AACGAACGCUGGCGGCAUGCCUAACACCUGCAAGUCGAACGAGACCUUCGGGUCUAGUGGCGCACGGGUGCGUAACGCGUGGUAACCUGCCCUUAGGUUCGGAAUAACUCCCCGAAAGGGGUGCUAAUACCGGAUAAUGUCUUCGGACCAAAGAUUUAUCGCCUUUGGAUGGGCCCGCGUUGGAUUAGCUAGUUGGUAGGGUAAAAGCCUACCAAGGCGACGAUCCAUAGCUGGUCUGAGAGGAUGAUCAGCCACACUGGGACUGAGACACGGCCCAGACUCCUACGGGAGGCAGCAGUGGGGAAUAUUGGACAAUGGGCGAAAGCCUGAUCCAGCAAUGCCGCGUGAGUGAUGAAGGCCUUAGGGUUGUAAAGCUCUUUUACCCGGGAUGAUAAUGACAGUACCGGGAGAAUAAGAUCCGGCUAACUCCGUG
This 433-nucleotide ribosomal RNA is filed under the name uncultured bacterium. RNAcentral's name for it is "partial 16S ribosomal RNA". It matches the Rfam family "Bacterial small subunit ribosomal RNA", at positions 29 to 507 of the family's 1533-position model. The record is from RNAcentral.